Molecule: long non-coding RNA, 892 nt
Filed under: Pan troglodytes (chimpanzee)
Lineage: Eukaryota; Metazoa; Chordata; Mammalia; Primates; Hominidae
Description: long non-coding RNA NONPTRT000705
Source: RNAcentral
UGCCUGGGCACCCUGGGGCCACCUAGGGCCAAGGGGCGUCCCUCUAGGCCCCACCUUGGUGUACACUUGCUCCGUGCACCUAUCACGGGGCUGGCUGGGUACAGGGCCUGGCCCAGGAGAAGGGGCACAGCAUCCCUUUUCACCCUGGGAAGUGGUCUCUUCUCAUUCUUCUGGCCUGUCACCCUUCCCCCCGCAGUGAUUGAGGGCUGGUGUCUGCAAGGGAAGGACAGGUCAAGGCUGGGGCGGGGGUCUGGGAGGACUGGCCCUGACCCUCACUCUCACUCUGCCUCCUGGGUGGAGUGCACCCCGCCACAUCCAAUGGGCUGUGUGCCAGGGCCACAGUGGCUGAGCAGACAAACCUGCCCCAGGUGCCGUUUGGCCCAUCCUGGGCAGAUCGCGGGCUCGUUCACAGGCCUGACGCUCGUUCACUCUGUCCGAUGCCUCUGCAGAGUGGGCAUGGGUUGGCCUGCUCUGGCCAUGACCCCACCCACCCUGCCUGUGGCAGGCAUCCGUCCCACUCGUCCACCUGCUUGAAGCUCACGUGUACCCGACUCCUACAGCCACCUGCCCUGUCUCCCAGCAGCCAUGCCCCCGAGGGUGCCACAGCCCCUCCUCCACAAAGGCCCAGAGCAGGAGCCGGAGGCCAUUGCCAGAGCCCAGGAAUGGACUGUGCCCAUUCGGAUGGAGGGUGCAGCCUGGCCCGGGGCAGGCACAGGGGAGCUGCUCUGGGACGUCCACAGCCACGUGGUCACAGAGACCACACAGAGGACCUACACAUACCAGGCCAUCGACACGCACACCGCACGUACGGGGUUGGGCCCAGCUGGGUUAUAAGCGUGAUCCCCAUGCCUCCUGCCCAGGGCCGGGGGGCAUUUGCACAUGUGCAAAGGCC